This 490-nucleotide ribosomal RNA is filed under the name uncultured bacterium. RNAcentral's name for it is "bacterial SSU rRNA". It matches the Rfam family "Bacterial small subunit ribosomal RNA", at positions 30 to 507 of the family's 1533-position model. The record is from RNAcentral.
AUUGAACGCUGGCGGCAUGCCUAACACAUGCAAGUCGAACGGCAGCACAGCAGUAGCAAUACUGUGGGUGGCGAGUGGCGGACGGGUGAGUAAUGCAUCGGGACCUACCCAGACGUGGGGGAUAACGUAGGGAAACUUACGCUAAUACCGCAUACGUCCUACGGGAGAAAGCAGGGGAUCUUCGGACCUUGCGCGGUUGGACGGACCGAUGUGCGAUUAGCUAGUUGGUAAGGUAAUGGCUUACCAAGGCGACGAUCGCUAGCUGGUCUGAGAGGAUGAUCAGCCACACUGGAACUGAGACACGGUCCAGACUCCUACGGGAGGCAGCAGUGGGGAAUAUUGGACAAUGGGCGCAAGCCUGAUCCAGCAAUGCCGCGUGGAUGAUGAAGGCCCUAGGGUUGUAAAGUCCUUUUAUCAGGAACGAAAUACCACGGGCUAAUACCCCAUGGGGCUGACGGUACCUGAGGAAUAAGCACCGGCUAACUUCGUG